Molecule: ribosomal RNA, 253 nt
Filed under: uncultured bacterium
Lineage: Bacteria
Description: partial 16S ribosomal RNA
Rfam family: Bacterial small subunit ribosomal RNA
Source: RNAcentral
UACGUAGGGACCAAGCGUUGUCCGGAAUCAUUGGGCGUAAAGAGCGUGUAGGCGGCCUGUUAAGUCUUGCGUGAAAUCUCGGGGCUCAACCCCGAGCGGUCGUGAGAAACUGGCAGGCUAGAGUGCGGGAGAGGAGAGUGGAAUUCCUGGUGUAGCGGUGAAAUGCGUAGAUAUCUGGAGGAAUACCGGUGGCGAAGGCGGCAUCCUGGACCAUUACUGACGCUGAGGCGCGAAAGCUAGGGGAGCAAACGGG